Molecule: long non-coding RNA, 988 nt
Organism: Hypomesus transpacificus
Lineage: Eukaryota; Metazoa; Chordata; Actinopteri; Osmeriformes; Osmeridae
Exons: 3
Source: RefSeq, a predicted model, not a curated record
AAAUUAAUGCACUGACUAAUAAGGCAAAUUGUUAAAACUUUAGAUUUUACUGGGACACAGCAGAUUUAUAAGGGAGACUUGGUAUGGUUGUAACACUUUUUUCUUCAGCACCUAAAAUUACCUUUUUUUUUUGCUACACGUCUGAAACUUUUAGGCAAAGUACCCAUAUUUUUCUACUACAAAUGGCAACAAUUAAAAUGUUCUUCAACUAUAUCACAGACUUGUGAGAUGAUGACAAAUUCAAGGUGGUCUUUUGGUACAACUAAUCCCACUACUGGGGUAGGUUGUAACAGACACUGGGUGACGCUGCCGACACCAGAGAAGACCAGUCAGGAUAGAAUCCAUGGAUUCAGGUGUCGUGUUCACUGUUAUGAAGGUGACAUUUGUGUGAUGGAGAGAUUAAAAAUGUAUUUGUAAACAUGAGAUUAGUUCACAACUGAUCUUUCUCAUUGGCCUUCAAGAAGACAGUGGAAAUUCCUUUCAAUUCCACAAACAAGUUCCAGGUAAAAUAUUUAACAUGGAACAUUUGGUUAACAUUGAGAAACAAAUCUAUGUCAACUUGUUACAGGAAUUCUGUGAGUAUUUUUUUUUUUACAUUGAUUCACGGAACAGAUGAAGGUCAGGGGGUGGUUUUUAUAAAUAUUGGCAGAAGCAGCUCAGUAAAUGAUUAAUUUGAAGAACUCAACAAGAAAAAAAGAAAACUUCCCCUCCUUUCCACCCACCUCUUUUUUCCUUUUCUUUUCUUCUCUCUGGUGGUGAGUAGCUGUCAGUACAUGAGCUGGAAGACCCCCUCGACUUGCACUACCUGCUGGUGAUGAAGGGAGCCCCAGAGAGGAUCCUGGAGCAUUGUCAACCAUCCUAAUCAAAGGCCAGGAGUUGCCUCUGGACGAGCAAUGGAAAGAGGCCUUCCAAACUGCAUACAUGGACCUGGGGAGCCUAGGGGAGAGAGUGCUGGAACUCAGGGCGGAGCUCAUCCACCCCAGGGGCC